CAGUCGCCGCGGGAACACGUAGGUGGCAAGCGUUGUCCGGAAUUAUUGGGCGUAAAGGGCCCGCAGGCGGUUUCUUAAGUCUGAUGUGAAAGCCCCCGGCUCAACCGGGGAGGGUCAUUGGAAACUGGGAAACUUGAGUGCAGAAGAGGAGAGUGGAAUUCCACGUGUAGCGGUGAAAUGCGUAGAGAUGUGGAGGAACACCAGUGGCGAAGGCGACUCUCUGGUCUGUAACUGACGCUGAGGAGCGAAAGCGUGGGGAGCGAACAGGAUUAGAUACCCCGGUAGUCCCUGUCUCUUAUAC
RNAcentral lists this ribosomal RNA (301 nucleotides) under uncultured bacterium. Its description in RNAcentral is "partial 16S ribosomal RNA". It matches the Rfam family "Bacterial small subunit ribosomal RNA", at positions 509 to 807 of the family's 1533-position model. The record is from RNAcentral.